GACGAACGCUGGCGGCGUGCUUAACACAUGCAAGUCGAACGGACAGGCCCUGCUUUUGCUGGGCGCUCGAUUGGCGAACGCGUGAGUAACACGCGAGUAUCCUGCCCUUGACUGUGGGAUAACUUCAGGAAACUGGGGCUAAUACCGGAUAGGAGCUCUUGCUGCACGGUGUGGGUUGGAAAGUUACGGCUGUUGGGGAUGGUCUCGCGGCUUAUCAGCUUGUUGGGGGAGUAGUGGCUUACCAAGGCUUUGACGGGUAGCCGGCCUGGGAGGGUGACCGGCCACAUUGGGACUGCGAGACGGACCAGACUCGUACGGGAGGCAGCAGUGGAGAAUAUUGCGCAAUGGGCGGGAGCCUGAUGCAGCAACGCCGCGUGCGGGAUAACGGCCUUCGGGGUGUAAACAACUUUCGAAUGUGACGAAGCGUGAGUGACGGUAAUGGGUAAAAAAGCACCGGCUAACUACGUG
RNAcentral lists this ribosomal RNA (468 nucleotides) under uncultured bacterium. Its description in RNAcentral is "partial 16S ribosomal RNA". It matches the Rfam family "Bacterial small subunit ribosomal RNA", at positions 28 to 507 of the family's 1533-position model. The record is from RNAcentral.